Molecule: non-coding RNA, 607 nt
Filed under: Pongo abelii (Sumatran orangutan)
Lineage: Eukaryota; Metazoa; Chordata; Mammalia; Primates; Hominidae
Source: RNAcentral
AACUUGCUCAUGGAUUUUGUGGGGGGCGUAGAUUGGAACCAAAAAGCACGCAUCGGCUUGUUGCUCCCUGUCGCCCUCUGUUGACAUGGGGAGAGAAGAGCGGGUCUGACUCGGAAAUGACGCCAUGAUGCUGAGAAACCACUCCUGGCGUUGCGGAAGGUGGGGUAUGGGGCCGGAAGACCCUCCCCCCGCGUCUUCAGAGGAGCGCUGUUUUUGGAGGAAUUAGGGGAAGGAGGCUGCCUGACUAUAUCAGCCACGGAUAGGAUACGUGAGAAUACUAGCAUGUCAAAGCUGGGAAUCAUCCUUAGGCAUCACCUAGCCAGUCCUGCCUCUCAUUUUAAGAUGCAUAGUGUUCAUAUGAGGAGAGACUUUCCCUUGUCUCCGUCAUCUGUGAUUUCACUUCCCUGACAGAAGACGAAGCUUCCAUCUCAGAUGUUUUCUUAAAUGAUGAAACAGCAUACGCCUCUGUUCUUGUCAGCUCAGGGAAAACAGAUCUGGGGACCUCUUCAUCUCUGCGUCGGGAAGCAUAGGUGGUAUAAUCCCCUCCUGUUACGUCCAGCGUUGCAUAGUCAGAAGCUUCGCCCUUGUAGUUGGUGCACACAGCACG